AUUGAACGCUGGCGGCAGGCCUAACACAUGCAGGUCGAGCGGAUGACGGGAGCUUGCUCCUUGAUUCAGCGACGGACGGGUGAGUAAUGCCUAGGAAUCUGCCUGGUAGUGGGGGGCAACGUUUCGAAAGGAACGCUAAUACCGCAUACGUCCUACGGGAGAAAGCAGGGGACCUUCGGGCCUUGCGCUAUCAGAUGAGCCUAGGUCGGAUUAGCUAGUUGGUGGGGUAAUGGCUCACCAAGGCGACGAUCCGUAACUGGUCUGAGAGGAUGAUCAGUCACACUGGAACUGAGAAACGGUCCAGACUCCUACGGGAGGCAGCAGUGGGGAAUAUUGGACAAUGGGCGAAAGCCUGAUCCAGCCAUGCCGCGUGUGUGAAGAAGGUCUUCGGAUUGUAAAGCACUUUAAGUUGGGAGGAAGGGCAGUAAGUUAAUACCUUGCUGUUUUGACGUUACCGGCAGAAUAAGCACCGGCUAACUCUGUGCCAGCCGCCGCGGUAA
RNAcentral lists this ribosomal RNA (500 nucleotides) under uncultured bacterium. RNAcentral describes it as "partial 16S ribosomal RNA". It matches the Rfam family "Bacterial small subunit ribosomal RNA", at positions 30 to 523 of the family's 1533-position model. The record is from RNAcentral.